This 305-nucleotide ribosomal RNA is filed under the name uncultured bacterium. RNAcentral describes it as "bacterial SSU rRNA". It matches the Rfam family "Bacterial small subunit ribosomal RNA", at positions 336 to 658 of the family's 1533-position model. The record is from RNAcentral.
UUCCUACGGGGCGCAGCAGUGGGGAAUAUUGCACAAUGGGGGGAACCCUGAUGCAGCGACGCCGCGUGGGUGAAGGAGUACUUCGGUACGUAAAGCCCUAUCAGCAGGAAAGAAAAUGACGGUACCUGACCAAGAAGCCCCGGCUAACUACGUGCCAGCAGCCGCGGUAAUACGUAGGGGGCAAGCGUUAUCCGGAUUUACUGGGUGUAAAGGGGGCGCAGACGGCAAUGCAAGCCAGGAGUGAAAGCCCGGGGCCCAACCCCGGGACUGCUCUUGGAACUGCAUGGCUGGAGUACAGGAGGGGC